GACGAACGCUGGCGGCGUGCUUAACACAUGCAAGUCGAACGGAAAGGCCCUGCUUUUGUGGGGUGCUCGAGUGGCGAACGGGUGAGUAACACGUGAGUAACCUGCCCUUGACUUUGGGAUAACUUCAGGAAACUGGGGCUAAUACCGGAUAGGAGCUCCUGCUGCAUGGUGGGGGUUUGAAAGUUUCGGCGGUUGGGGAUGGACUGGCGGCUUAUCAGCUUGUUGGUGGGGUAGUGGCUUACCAAGGCUUUGACGGGUAGCCGGCCUGAGAGGGUGACCGGCGACAAGGGGACUGAGGUACGGCGCAGACGCGUACGGGAGGCAGCGGGGGGGAGUAUGGCACAGUGGGCGGAAGCCUGAUGAAGCAACGCUGCGUGCGGGAUGACGGCCUUCGGGUUGUAAACCGCUUUCGCUUGUGACGAAGCGUGAGUGACGGUAAUGGGUAAAGAAGCACCGGCUAACUACGUG
RNAcentral lists this ribosomal RNA (468 nucleotides) under uncultured bacterium. Its description in RNAcentral is "partial 16S ribosomal RNA". It matches the Rfam family "Bacterial small subunit ribosomal RNA", at positions 28 to 507 of the family's 1533-position model. The record is from RNAcentral.